UUUGAUUCUUUCGGGAUGAAAAGUUUUGUGACUGAGCGGCGGACGGGUGAGUAACGCGUGGGUAACCUGCCUCAUACAGGGGGAUAACAGUUAGAAAUGACUGCUAAUACCGCAUAAGACCACAGCACCGCAUGGUGCAGGGGUAAAAACUCCGGUGGUAUGAGAUGGACCCGCGUCUGAUUAGGUAGUUGGUGAGGUAACGGCUCACUAAGCCGACGAUCAGUAGCCGACCUGAGAGGGUGACCGGCCACAUUGGGACUGAGACACGGCCCAAACUCC
Molecule: ribosomal RNA, 279 nt
Filed under: uncultured Lachnospiraceae bacterium
Lineage: Bacteria; Bacillati; Bacillota; Clostridia; Lachnospirales; Lachnospiraceae
Description: partial 16S ribosomal RNA
Rfam family: Bacterial small subunit ribosomal RNA
Source: RNAcentral